CAUGGAUAGGGUGUUUUAUUUU
Molecule: microRNA, 22 nt
Filed under: Monodelphis domestica (gray short-tailed opossum)
Lineage: Eukaryota; Metazoa; Chordata; Mammalia; Didelphimorphia; Didelphidae
Description: Mdo-Mir-7371-P21_5p* (star (passenger))
Source: RNAcentral